UCCCUGGUAGUAUAUCGGUUAGUACGCGUGCCUGUCAUACUAGGUUUUGAAGUAAUAAUUGCGCGCGAAAGCUGGGUUCAACUCCCAGCCAAGGAG
Molecule: non-coding RNA, 96 nt
Organism: Paramarasmius palmivorus
Lineage: Eukaryota; Fungi; Basidiomycota; Agaricomycetes; Agaricales; Marasmiaceae
Source: the annotation of a GenBank genome assembly